CAGCCGCCGCGGUAAUACGUAGGUGGCAAGCGUUGUCCGGAAUUAUUGGGCGUAAAGGGCUCGCAGGCGGUUUCUUAAGUCUGAUGUGAAAGCCCCCGGCUCAACCGGGGAGGGUCAUUGGAAACUGGGAAACUUGAGUGCAGAAGAGGAGAGUGGAAUUCCACGUGUAGCGGUGAAAUGCGUAGAGAUGUGGAGGAACACCAGUGGCGAAGGCGACUCUCUGGUCUGUAACAGACGCUGAGGAGCGAAAGCGUGGGGAGCGAACAGGAUUAGAUACCCGUGUAGUCCCUGUCUCUUAUAC
This 301-nucleotide ribosomal RNA is filed under the name uncultured bacterium. RNAcentral describes it as "partial 16S ribosomal RNA". It matches the Rfam family "Bacterial small subunit ribosomal RNA", at positions 509 to 807 of the family's 1533-position model. The record is from RNAcentral.